CAAUAGCGUAUAUUAAAGUUGUUGCAGUUAAAAAGCUCGUAGUUGGAUUUCUGGUGGGAGCGAUCGGUCUGGCGCUUAGCGCGAGUACUUGCGUCGUCUCCGGCCAUCCUUGGGGAAAGUCUGUCUGGCAUUAAGUUGUCGGGCAGAGGAUCCUCAUCGUUUACUGUGAAAAAAUUAGAGUGUUCAAAGCAGGCUUAUGCCGUUGAAUAUAUUAGCAUGGAAUAAUAAGAUAGGACUUUGGUACUAUUUUGUUGGUUUGCGCACCAAAGUAAUGAUUAAUAGGGACAGUUGGGGGUAUUCGUAUUCCGUUGUCAGAGGUGAAAUUCUUGGAUUUACGGAAGACGAACUACUGCGAAAGCAUUUACCAAGGAUGUUUUCAUUAA
Molecule: ribosomal RNA, 383 nt
Filed under: uncultured eukaryote
Lineage: Eukaryota
Description: partial 18S ribosomal RNA
Rfam family: Eukaryotic small subunit ribosomal RNA
Source: RNAcentral